UUUUUCACAUAUGGGAUAGUUUAAUUAAAUACAGUCGUAAAUAUGAUGUAGUUAAAGAUGUAUAUAGUUGACAAUACAGUAGUUAUAAUUAUAUGUAUAUUAUUUCGCUGGAUGUAAUGAAAAGCGUUUAAACUAUAAAUAAUUGUUAUGUAAAAUGUUGUUAGAGAGAUCAACUUACUUUUUAUUUAAAGUUAUAGUUUCAGAUGUUGUAGUCAGACUUCCUCAUGUAAUUUUAAAUAUAAUAAUGGCAAAAUUCAAAUGUAUUAAAUUAGAUACUGGAUUUGAAUUCACAUAUAAUUAUAAUUGUAUUCAGCUGUAACUUUUUACAAUCUAAAAGUUUGUUAUAUGCUAAUGGGAGUUGAGCUGGAAUACUAUCGGUAGCAAACGAGCUCCGUUGCCACCCAUUUGUUUUCGAUGAUGGAGCCUCCAAAUCGACGAUCGGCACCGUCGAAAAUGAUCUAUACCACUUGAAGUAUCUAGAAAUCAAAUUUCAUACUUUUCCGAUAUUGUUCUCUUAUCCAUCAAGUGGGCGUAAAAAUGAAUGACUGAAAAUAAAUAUCCUCUAAAAAGUGAUGAUAAGAAUUUGUAAUCAUGAUCGAGAGUAUAGAUCUUUUUCUAAAUAGUUUAAAGAAUUUUCUAAGCAAAAUUCAAUUGAUUUGGAUAGUUUUACACCGUUAAACGAGAAAACGCCUUAUAUCUACUAUUAAAAUUACAAAUUUUAAAAUCCUUUGAUCAUUAGGUCAAUGAUAUCGAAAAGAUUUGAAAUUUGAUUUCUAGAUACUUCAAGUGAUAUAUAUUAUAUUCAAUGGUGCCGAUCGUCAAUUUAAAUGGAUGGCAACAGAACCCGUUUGCUAUCGAUAGCAUUCCAGUUCAACUCAUGCUAAUGGCUAGUUAUUAAUUAAGGUACCAAC
Molecule: long non-coding RNA, 911 nt
Filed under: Ananas comosus (pineapple)
Lineage: Eukaryota; Viridiplantae; Streptophyta; Magnoliopsida; Poales; Bromeliaceae
Description: long non-coding RNA (ACOM_LNC032572)
Source: RNAcentral